GUCCUGAGUUCAAUCCCCCGUGUACCAAAAACCAAACAAACAAAAAACAAAACAAAAAAAACCCUACAUUUCUCAGGGUCCCUUAUAGUUUUGGAUGUGCAGCUCACCCAAUUGUGUGUUUCAGAAGGAGGACAAGGCAGACAUCAUCAUCCAUUUUUUAAGUCAAGCUCAGAAAAGCCAGCCUGGGGUACAUGAUGUAGUGAGUUCAAGGCCAGCCUGAACUACAUAGUGAGAUGCGGUCUCAAAAAUAAAUAAAUAAUUAAGAGCUCUCAUUCUUUUCUCUUGAGGACUAAGGAAGAAAGCCCUUUCCCCUUUCAUCUUUUACUGGACUGACUCUUGUUUCCAAAUAUGCAUGUGUCUAUAUGUUUCAAGCCAGAGGAAAUGAUGCAGGUGUCAAGCUGGCUGAACUCAGAUGAUUAGGAGCUCAGGUGCUGGGGAUGACGAUGAGGAGAAUUUGCAUCUUCCAGAAGAAAAGAUGGAGCACUGGGGCCCAGCAUGAGGAGGCCUUCAGUGAAGAAAGCAGAAGAAAGGUACCUCAUCAGCAGUGUGUGCAAACCUCGGGCUCUUAUGAUUGUCUCAGUUUGAAAAAACCUCCUCCUAAUAUACAACCAUCUGAGCUGGCUGUGGUGAUGCACGCCUGUAAUCCUAGCACUCUGGGAGGCUGAGACAGGAAGAGGACAAGUUUGAGCCUGGUCUGGGCAACUCAUUGAGACGCUAUCCCAAAAUAAAAAUAAAAAGGGCUGAGGAGGUAGCUAGCUCAUCUUUGCGCUAAACUAGUAUGGCCAGAGAUCUUAACAGAGACACACUUAAUCAUUCAUUCAACG
This 824-nucleotide long non-coding RNA is filed under the name Heterocephalus glaber (naked mole-rat). Its description in RNAcentral is "lncRNA (ENSHGLG00100034695.1)". Lineage: Eukaryota; Metazoa; Chordata; Mammalia; Rodentia; Bathyergidae. The record is from RNAcentral.